GAUGAAGAACGCAGCGAAAUACGAUAAGUAAUGUGAAUUGCAGAAUUCAGUGAAUCAUCGAAUCUUUGAACGCACAUUGCGCCCCUUGGUAUUCCGAGGGGCAUGCCUGUUCGAGCGUCAUAUUAACCACUCCCGCUUGCGGGGUCUUGGGCUUCGCCUCCGGGCGGGCCUUAAAAUCAGUGGCGGUGCCGUCGGGCUCUACGCGUAGUAAAUUUUCUCGCGAUAGGGUCCCGGUGGAUGCUUGCCAACAACCCCCAACUUCUUAAGGUUGACCUCGGAUCAGGUAGGGAUACCCGCUGAACUUAAGCAUAUCAAUAAGCGGAGGA
This 326-nucleotide unclassified non-coding RNA is filed under the name soil metagenome. RNAcentral describes it as "partial contains 5.8S ribosomal RNA, internal transcribed spacer 2, and large subunit ribosomal RNA". The stretch from base 1 to 120 matches the Rfam family "5.8S ribosomal RNA", at positions 35 to 154 of the family's 154-position model. The record is from RNAcentral.